Molecule: ribosomal RNA, 471 nt
Filed under: Barteria fistulosa
Lineage: Eukaryota; Viridiplantae; Streptophyta; Magnoliopsida; Malpighiales; Passifloraceae
Description: eukaryotic LSU rRNA
Rfam family: 5.8S ribosomal RNA (bases 157-312)
Source: RNAcentral
CGGCGGGCCUGUUCCGUCGCCCCGUUCCCCUUCCCCCACGAACAAAACCCCGGCGCACGAUGCGCCAAGGAAUCGCAACGAGAAAAGGAACGAGCACCCGUUGCGCGCCGGGAACGGAAUGCGCACGGGCGGCCUCGUAUUCUUUGAAAACAAAACGACUCUCGGCAACGGAUAUCUCGGCUCUCGCAUCGAUGAAGAACGUAGCGAAAUGCGAUACUUGGUGUGAAUUGCAGAAUCCCGUGAACCAUCGAGUCUUUGAACGCAAGUUGCGCCCGAAGCCUUCGGGCCGAGGGCACGUCUGCCUGGGUGUCAUGCACCGUCGCCCCCCAUCCCCACUCCCCCGAGGGGAGUCGGGAAGCCCGGGGCGGACAAUGGCCUCCCGUGCGCUCUCGCUCGCGGUUGGCCUAAAUCCGAGUUGUUGGCGGCGAGCGCCACGGCAAGCGGUGGUUGGAAAGACCCUCUGAAGUGUCG